ACGCUCGACACCUACGGGAGGCAGCAGUGGGGAAUAUUGCACAAUGGGGGAAACCCUGAUGCAGCGACGCCGCGUGGAGGAAGAAGGUCUUCGGAUUGUAAACUCCUGUUGUUGGGGAAAAAGAGGAUGGUACCCAACAAGGAAGUGACGGCUAACUACGUGCCAGCACGCUGCGUAUCUGGAGCGGGCUGGCAAGGC
Molecule: ribosomal RNA, 198 nt
Filed under: uncultured bacterium
Lineage: Bacteria
Description: partial 16S ribosomal RNA
Rfam family: Bacterial small subunit ribosomal RNA
Source: RNAcentral